CAUUUUCAGAUGUUGUCCAGAAAUCUGCAAGUGUUCUUUUCCUGUUUUAACUCCUUCCUUUUAUCACCUGACUAUCAGGGAAGCGAGGUUGAGGCUGCCCUGCCCUGACAUGUCAUGAUGUCGACUUGCUAGGUGGGGUUCGCUGGGGACCAUAACCAAUGGAAUUGUUGGUUGCCUUGAUAUGGCCAGUUUUCUUCUGUUAUUUUCCUUGAGGAUAUAUAUACUCAGAUCCUCACCAAUGGUAAAGGUGGAAGUUCUGCAUCUCAUAAUGGAGAUUUACUUGAAGUCAUACACUUAUUCCUCUUUGUGCUGUGCCAUUAAAGUGUGUGAGUGUGUGUGUGUGUGUGUGUGUGUGUGUGUGUGUGUGUGUGUGUGUGACUUAGGGAAAGGUCAUAGGGGUCAAAUGGUCAAAACAAAUUGAAUGAGUAGCAAGGAAUCCUAAUAUAUUCUGUCUUAUGGCUUGAAUGAAAUGGCUGAUAAGUGUAGACUAUAAGAUGAGAACAGUAAGGCCUUCCCUGAGAUCACUGGUUUUCAGUUUACUGUUCUGGGUUUUUUUGUUUUUUGUGUUUUUUUUAAAUUGGUCCCCAAGUCAAAAGAUCAGUGAACCAGGAAGGGCCUUUGUAAAAGCAGACAUACUGAAGUUUUUUCAGAUAUCAUAGCCAGAGUUUGGCAGGGCAGAGGACAGACAGGUGCAGGUGUAGUGUAGGUACUGAUUAGGCCCUAUGGUGUUAGCUCCAAGAUCAGAUGUGGGCCACGUUUACUCUGGGGUGUCUAUAGGCCGUGUCUGCUAGUGUCUAGACCCUAAAUUCAUUUAGUUCAUUUGUGAAAAUGAGCAUUUCCUGUGCAGUUGUAUUAUUGACAUAGAAGGAUGUCUUAUACCUGUAUCUAUGAAAAUGUUGCUUUUCUAUUUAGAAAUUUUAGAAAAAUUAGGGCCAUGUAUAAACAUUUCCUGUAAGAAAUCCUGUUUCAACUAUUUAUUUGCAAUUCCCAGAUAGUGACCUAACCUUUACUUUAUUUAUUUAUUUUUAAACAUGGAUCUUACUAUGUAGCCCUUGAACUCAGAUCUGUCAGCUGCCUCCCAAGUGCUGGACGUAAAAACCUGUAUCACUACGCCUAGCCUCAGACGGUGAAUGUUAGGGCCUAGUUGUUAGUAGGUCAGGGGUCUGUGAUAAUAGUUCAGUGGUAAGAGGACUCAGUUAUUCCUGUGCACAAACCCCUGGGUUUAAUUCCCAUCAUGAUGGGGAAAAUAAGUAAAAAUAAAUAAAUAAAUAAAAAAUAUCAUACAGUUAGGCUCAUGACAUGUCUGAGGUUAACCUUGG
This 1319-nucleotide long non-coding RNA is filed under the name Cricetulus griseus (Chinese hamster). Its description in RNAcentral is "lncRNA (ENSCGRG00015032350.1)". The record is from RNAcentral. Lineage: Eukaryota; Metazoa; Chordata; Mammalia; Rodentia; Cricetidae.